UACGUAGGGUGCGAGCGUUAAUCGGAAUUACUGGGCGUAAAGUGUGCGCAGGCGGCUCCGCAAGUCGAGUGUGAAAUCCCCGAGCUUAACUUGGGAAUUGCGCUCGAAACUACGGAGCUGGAGUGUGGCAGAGGAAGGUGGAAUUCCACGUGUAGCGGUGAAAUGCGUAGAUAUGUGGAGGAACACCGAUGGCGAAGGCAGCCUUCUGGGCCAACACUGACGCUCAUGCACGAAAGCGUGGGGAGCGAACAGG
RNAcentral lists this ribosomal RNA (253 nucleotides) under uncultured bacterium. RNAcentral describes it as "partial 16S ribosomal RNA". It matches the Rfam family "Bacterial small subunit ribosomal RNA", at positions 524 to 776 of the family's 1533-position model. The record is from RNAcentral.